Molecule: ribosomal RNA, 93 nt
Filed under: uncultured Skeletonema
Lineage: Eukaryota; Bacillariophyta; Thalassiosirophyceae; Thalassiosirales; Thalassiosiraceae
Description: partial 5.8S ribosomal RNA
Rfam family: 5.8S ribosomal RNA
About the family: 5.8S ribosomal RNA (5.8S rRNA) is a component of the large subunit of the eukaryotic ribosome. It is transcribed by RNA polymerase I as part of the 45S precursor that also contains 18S and 28S rRNA.
Source: RNAcentral
ACGAACUGCAGAACCUCGUGAAUCAUCAAAAUUUUGAACGCACAUUGCGCUACUGAGUAAUCUCAGUAGCAUGCUUAUCUGAGUGUCUCUAAA